This is a transfer RNA of Rhinocladiella mackenziei CBS 650.93, 86 nucleotides long. It matches the Rfam family "tRNA". From Rfam's summary of the family: Transfer RNA (tRNA) molecules are approximately 80 nucleotides in length. Their secondary structure includes four short double-helical elements and three loops (D, anti-codon, and T loops). NCBI's taxonomy places the organism in Eukaryota, Fungi, Ascomycota, Eurotiomycetes, Chaetothyriales, Herpotrichiellaceae. The record is from Rfam.
GGGGCUGUAGCUCAGGGGUAGAGCGCCUGCUUUGCAUUUAAAAAUGCGUAUGCAUGAGGUCAUGGGUUCGAGACCCAUCAGCUCCA